AGAUUGAACGCUGGCGGCAUGCCUUACACAUGCAAGUCGAACGGCAGCACGGGAGCAAUCCUGGUGGCGAGUGGCGAACGGGUGAGUAAUACAUCGGAACGUGCCCAAUCGUGGGGGAUAACGCAGCGAAAGCUGUGCUAAUACCGCAUAAGAUCUACGGAUGAAAGCAGGGGAUCGCAAGACCUUGCGCGAAUGGAGCGGCCGAUGGCAGAUUAGGUAGUUGGUGAGGUAAAGGCUCACCAAGCCUUCGAUCUGUAGCUGGUCUGAGAGGACGACCAGCCACACUGGGACUGAGACACGGCCCAGACUCCUACGGGAGCAGCAGUGGGGAAUUUGGACAAUGGGCGAAAGCCUGAUCCAGCCAUGCCGCGUGCGAGGAUGAACGGUCCGUUACGGUUAGUAAACUGUCGUUUUAGGUACGGAAACGAAAGUUACUUCUUUACUAAGUAAGAGGAUACGAUACGACGGUAACCGUAAGAAUAA
RNAcentral lists this ribosomal RNA (483 nucleotides) under uncultured soil bacterium. RNAcentral describes it as "bacterial SSU rRNA". It matches the Rfam family "Bacterial small subunit ribosomal RNA", at positions 26 to 489 of the family's 1533-position model. The record is from RNAcentral.